This 805-nucleotide long non-coding RNA is filed under the name Parus major (Great Tit). RNAcentral describes it as "lncRNA (ENSPMJG00000004618.1)". The record is from RNAcentral. Lineage: Eukaryota; Metazoa; Chordata; Aves; Passeriformes; Paridae.
UUGGGUUCUGGGGUUCUGGUGGGUUCUGGUGGGGUUUGGUUUGGUUCUCCAAGGGUUUUGUUGAGUUCUGGUGGGAUUCCAUUGGGUUCUUGUUGGGUUUUGGUGGGUUCUCCAAGGGUUCCAUUGGGUUCUGGUGGGGUUUGGUGGGUUCUGGUGGGUUCUGGUGGGGUUUGGUUUGGUUCUCCAAGGGUUCUGGUGGGUUCUCCAAGGGUUCUGGUGGGUUCAGGUGGGAUUCCAUUGAGUUCUGGUGGGGUUUGGUUUGGUUCUCCAAGGGUUCUGGUGGGUUCAGGUGAGGUUCCAUUGGGUUCUGGGGUUCUGGUGGGUUCUGGUUGGGUUCCAUUGAGUUCUGGUGGGGUUCUGGUGGGGUCUGGUUGGGUUCUGGUGGGUUCUCCAAGGGUUCCAUUGACUUCUGAGCUUUGGUUGGGUUCUGGUUGGGUUUGGUUCGGUUCUCCAAGGGUUCCAUUGGGUUCUGGUGGGGUUCUGGUGGGUUCUGGUGGGGUUCCAUUGAGUUCUCCAAGGGUUCCAUUGAGUUCUGGUUGGGUUCCAUUGGGUUCUGAGCUUUGGUUGGGUUCUGGUGGGGUUCCGUUGGGUUCUCCAAGGGUUCCAUUGGGUUCUGGGGUUCUGGUGGGUUCUCCAAGGGUUCCGUUGGGUUCUCCAAGGGUUCCAUUGGGUUCUGGUUGGGUUCUGGUGGGUUCUGGUGGGGUUCUGGUGGGUUCUGGUGGGGUUCUGGUGGGUUCUCCAAGGGUUCCGUUGAGUUCCGGUUGGGUCCCGUUGACUUUUCCCACAAUUCCAUUGGGUUUUCCAA